This 2896-nucleotide ribosomal RNA is filed under the name Escherichia coli. RNAcentral's name for it is "partial 23S ribosomal RNA". It matches the Rfam family "Bacterial large subunit ribosomal RNA". The record is from RNAcentral. Lineage: Bacteria; Pseudomonadati; Pseudomonadota; Gammaproteobacteria; Enterobacterales; Enterobacteriaceae.
GGUUAAGCGACUAAGCGUACACGGUGGAUGCCCUGGCAGUCAGAGGCGAUGAAGGACGUGCUAAUCUGCGAUAAGCGUCGGUAAGGUGAUAUGAACCGUUAUAACCGGCGAUUUCCGAAUGGGGAAACCCAGUGUGAUUCGUCACACUAUCAUUAACUGAAUCCAUAGGUUAAUGAGGCGAACCGGGGGAACUGAAACAUCUAAGUACCCCGAGGAAAAGAAAUCAACCGAGAUUCCCCCAGUAGCGGCGAGCGAACGGGGAGGAGCCCAGAGCCUGAAUCAGUGUGUGUGUUAGUGGAAGCGUCUGGAAAGGCGCGCGAUACAGGGUGACAGCCCCGUACACAAAAAUGCACAUACUGUGAGCUCGAUGAGUAGGGCGGGACACGUGGUAUCCUGUCUGAAUAUGGGGGGACCAUCCUCCAAGGCUAAAUACUCCUGACUGACCGAUAGUGAACCAGUACCGUGAGGGAAAGGCGAAAAGAACCCCGGCGAGGGGAGUGAAAAAGAACCUGAAACCGUGUACGUACAAGCAGUGGGAGCCUCUUAAUGGGGUGACUGCGUACCUUUUGUAUAAUGGGUCAGCGACUUAUAUUCUGUAGCAAGGUUAACCGAAUAGGGGAGCCGAAGGGAAACCGAGUCUUAACUGGGCGUUAAGUUGCAGGGUAUAGACCCGAAACCCGGUGAUCUAGCCAUGGGCAGGUUGAAGGUUGGGUAACACUAACUGGAGGACCGAACCGACUAAUGUUGAAAAAUUAGCGGAUGACUUGUGGCUGGGGGUGAAAGGCCAAUCAAACCGGGAGAUAGCUGGUUCUCCCCGAAAGCUAUUUAGGUAGCGCCUCGUGAAUUCAUCUCCGGGGGUAGAGCACUGUUUCGGCAAGGGGGUCAUCCCGACUUACCAACCCGAUGCAAACUGCGAAUACCGGAGAAUGUUAUCACGGGAGACACACGGCGGGUGCUAACGUCCGUCGUGAAGAGGGAAACAACCCAGACCGCCAGCUAAGGUCCCAAAGUCAUGGUUAAGUGGGAAACGAUGUGGGAAGGCCCAGACAGCCAGGAUGUUGGCUUAGAAGCAGCCAUCAUUUAAAGAAAGCGUAAUAGCUCACUGGUCGAGUCGGCCUGCGCGGAAGAUGUAACGGGGCUAAACCAUGCACCGAAGCUGCGGCAGCGACGCUUAUGCGUUGUUGGGUAGGGGAGCGUUCUGUAAGCCUGUGAAGGUGGCCUGUGAGGGUUGCUGGAGGUAUCAGAAGUGCGAAUGCUGACAUAAGUAACGAUAAAGCGGGUGAAAAGCCCGCUCGCCGGAAGACCAAGGGUUCCUGUCCAACGUUAAUCGGGGCAGGGUGAGUCGACCCCUAAGGCGAGGCCGAAAGGCGUAGUCGAUGGGAAACAGGUUAAUAUUCCUGUACUUGGUGUUACUGCGAAGGGGGGACGGAGAAGGCUAUGUUGGCCGGGCGACGGUUGUCCCGGUUUAAGCGUGUAGGCUGGUUUUCCAGGCAAAUCCGGAAAAUCAAGGCUGAGGCGUGAUGACGAGGCACUACGGUGCUGAAGCGACAAAUGCCCUGCUUCCAGGAAAAGCCUCUAAGCAUCAGGUAACAUUAAAUCGUACCCCAAACCGACACAGGUGGUCAGGUAGAGAAUACCAAGGCGCUUGAGAGAACUCGGGUGAAGGAACUAGGCAAAAUGGUGCCGUAACUUCGGGAGAAGGCACGCUGAUAUGUAGGUGAAGCGACUUGCUCGUGGAGCUGAAAUCAGUCGAAGAUACCAGCUGGCUGCAACUGUUUAUUAAAAACACAGCACUGUGCAAACACGAAAGUGGACGUAUACGGUGUGACGCCUGCCCGGUGCCGGAAGGUUAAUUGAUGGGGUUAGCGGUAACGCGAAGCUCUUGAUCGAAGCCCCGGUAAACGGCGGCCGUAACUAUAACGGUCCUAAGGUAGCGAAAUUCCUUGUCGGGUAAGUUCCGACCUGCACGAAUGGCGUAAUGAUGGCCAGGCUGUCUCCACCCGAGACUCAGUGAAAUUGAACUCGCUGUGAAGAUGCAGUGUACCCGCGGCAAGACGGAAAGACCCCGUGAACCUUUACUAUAGCUUGACACUGAACAUUGAGCCUUGAUGUGUAGGAUAGGUGGGAGGCUUUGAAGUGUGGACGCCAGUCUGCAUGGAGCCGACCUUGAAAUACCACCCUUUAAUGUUUGAUGUUCUAACGUGGGCCCCUUACCGGGGUUGCGGACAGUGUCUGGUGGGUAGUUUGACUGGGGCGGUCUCCUCCUAAAGAGUAACGGAGGAGCACGAAGGUUGGCUAAUCCUGGUCGGACAUCAGGAGGUUAGUGCAAUGGCAUAAGCCAGCUUGACUGCGAGCGUGACGGCGCGAGCAGGUGCGAAAGCAGGUCAUAGUGAUCCGGUGGUUCUGAAUGGAAGGGCCAUCGCUCAACGGAUAAAAGGUACUCCGGGGAUAACAGGCUGAUACCGCCCAAGAGUUCAUAUCGACGGCGGUGUUUGGCACCUCGAUGUCGGCUCAUCACAUCCUGGGGCUGAAGUAGGUCCCAAGGGUAUGGCUGUUCGCCAUUUAAAGUGGUACGCGAGCUGGGUUUAGAACGUCGUGAGACAGUUCGGUCCCUAUCUGCCGUGGGCGCUGGAGAACUGAGGGGGGCUGCUCCUAGUACGAGAGGACCGGAGUGGACGCAUCACUGGUGUUCGGGUUGUCAUGCCAAUGGCACUGCCCGGUAGCUAAAUGCGGAAGAGAUAAGUGCUGAAAGCAUCUAAGCACGAAACUUGCCCCGAGAUGAGUUCUCCCUGACUCCUUGAGAGUCCUGAAGGAACGUUGAAGACGACGACGUUGAUAGGCCGGGUGUGUAAGCGCAGCGAUGCGUUGAGCUAACCGGUACUAAUGAACCGUGAGG